Molecule: ribosomal RNA, 468 nt
Filed under: uncultured bacterium
Lineage: Bacteria
Description: partial 16S ribosomal RNA
Rfam family: Bacterial small subunit ribosomal RNA
Source: RNAcentral
GACGAACGCUGGCGGCGUGCUUAACACAUGCAAGUCGAACGGAAAGGCCCUGCUUUUGUGGGGUGCUCGAGUGGCGAACGGGUGAGUAACACGUGAGUAACCUGCCCUUGACUUUGGGAUAACUUCGGGAAACUGGGGCUAAUACCGGAUAGGAGCUCCUGCUGCAUGGUGGGGGUUGGAAAGUUUCGGCGGUUGGGGAUGGACUCGCGGCUUAUCAGCUUGUUGGUGGGGUAGUGGCUUACCAAGGCUUUGACGGGUAGCCGGCCUGAGAGGGUGACCGGCCACAUUGGGACUGAGAUACGGCCCAGACUCCUACGGGAGGCAGCAGUGGGGAAUAUUGCACAAUGGGCGGAAGCCUGAUGCAGAAACGCCGCGUGCGGGAUGACGGCCUUCGGGUUGUAAACCGCUUUCGCCUGUGACGAAGCGUGAGUGACGGUAAUGGGUAAAGAAGCACCGGCUAACUACGUG